GCAAGUCGAACGAGAACGGGUAUUAGUUUACUACUACUGUCAGCUAAGUGGCGCACGGGUGAGUAAUAUAUAGUCAACCCGCCUUCAAGAAGAGAAUAAUUGCUGGAAACGGCUUGUAAUGCUCUAUAUGCCUUUAUGACAUAAGUCAGCAAGGGAAAUGCUUUAGUGCUUGAAGAUGGGACUGUACGGUAUCAGAUAGUUGGUGAGGUAAUGGCUCACCAAGUCGAUGACGCCUAGCUGGUUUGAGAGGAUGAUC
RNAcentral lists this ribosomal RNA (256 nucleotides) under uncultured bacterium. Its description in RNAcentral is "partial 16S ribosomal RNA". It matches the Rfam family "Bacterial small subunit ribosomal RNA", at positions 57 to 305 of the family's 1533-position model. The record is from RNAcentral.